ACCUGGGUGGCUCAGUCAGUUAAGCAUCUGACUUCGGUUCAGGUCAGGAUUUCACGGUUCGUGGGUUCGAGCCCCACAUCAGGCU
This 85-nucleotide transfer RNA is filed under the name Felis catus (domestic cat). It matches the Rfam family "tRNA". From Rfam's summary of the family: Transfer RNA (tRNA) molecules are approximately 80 nucleotides in length. Their secondary structure includes four short double-helical elements and three loops (D, anti-codon, and T loops). Further hydrogen bonds mediate the characteristic L-shaped molecular structure. tRNAs have two regions of fundamental functional importance: the anti-codon, which is responsible for specific mRNA codon recognition, and the 3' end, to which the tRNAs corresponding amino acid is attached (by aminoacyl-tRNA synthetases). tRNAs cope with the degeneracy of the genetic code in two manners: having more than one tRNA (with a specific anti-codon) for a particular amino acid; and 'wobble' base-pairing, i.e. permitting non-standard base-pairing at the 3rd anti-codon position. RNAcentral also lists the same sequence under 4 other names. Lineage: Eukaryota; Metazoa; Chordata; Mammalia; Carnivora; Felidae. The record is from Rfam by way of RNAcentral.